GGUGGUGGAUUAGUGGCGAACGGGUGAGUAACACGUGGGCAAUCUGCCCUGCACUCUGGGACAAGCCCUGGAAACGGGGUCUAAUACCGGAUAUGACACGGGAUCGCAUGGUCUCCGUGUGGAAAGCUCCGGCGGUGCAGGAUGAGCCCGCGGCCUAUCAGCUUGUUGGUGGGGUGAUGGCCUACCAAGGCGACGACGGGUAGCCGGCCUGAGAGGGCGACCGGCCACACUGGGACUGAGACACGGCCCAGACUCCUACGGGAGGCAGCAGUGGGGAAUAUUGCACAAUGGGCGCAAGCCUGAUGCAGCGACGCCGCGUGAGGGAUGACGGCCUUCGGGUUGUAAACCUCUUUCAGCAGGGAAGAAGCGCGAGUGACGGUACCUGCAGAAGAAGCACCGGCUAACUACGUGCCAGCAGCCGCGGUAAUACGUAGGGUGCGAGCGUUGUCCGGAAUUAUUGGGCGUAAAGAGCUCGUAGGCGGCUUGUCGCGUCGGAUGUGAAAGCCCGGGGCUUAACCCCGGGUCUGCAUUCGAUACGGGCAGGCUAGAGUUCGGCAGGGGAGAUUGGAAUUCCUGGUGUAGCGGUGAAAUGCGCAGAUAUCAGGAGGAACACCGGUGGCGAAGGCGGAUCUCUGGGCCGAUACUGACGCUGAGGAGCGAAAGCGUGGGGAGCGAACAGGAUUAGAUACCCUGGUAGUCCACGCCGUAAACGUUGGGCACUAGGUGUGGGCGGCAUUCCACGUCGUCCGUGCCGCAGCUAACGCAUUAAGUGCCCCGCCUG
This 781-nucleotide ribosomal RNA is filed under the name Streptomyces albus. RNAcentral describes it as "bacterial SSU rRNA". It matches the Rfam family "Bacterial small subunit ribosomal RNA", at positions 83 to 875 of the family's 1533-position model. The record is from RNAcentral. Lineage: Bacteria; Bacillati; Actinomycetota; Actinomycetes; Kitasatosporales; Streptomycetaceae.